GGUCGGUUGGUCUAGUUGGUUAUGGCAUCUCGUUAACACCGAGAAGGUCCUGAGUUCGAUCCUCAGACUGAUCA
Molecule: transfer RNA, 74 nt
Filed under: Heterodermia speciosa
Lineage: Eukaryota; Fungi; Ascomycota; Lecanoromycetes; Caliciales; Physciaceae
Also listed under: 1 other name
Description: tRNA-Val
Source: RNAcentral